GACGAACGCUGGCGGCGUGCUUAACACAUGCAAGUCGAACGGAAAGGCCCUGCUUUUGUGGGGUGCUCGAGUGGCGAACGGGUGAGUAACACGUGAGUAACCUGCCCUUGACUUUGGGAUAACUUCAGGAAACUGGGGCUAAUACCGGAUAGGAGCUCCUGCUGCAUGGUGGGGGUUGGAAAGUUUCGGCGGUUGGGGAUGGACUCGCGGCUUAUCAGCUUGUUGGUGGGGUAGUGGCUUACCAAGGCUUUGACGGGUAGCCGGCCUGAGAGGGUGACCGGCCACAUUGGUACUGAGAUACGGCGCAGACUCCUACGGGAGGCAGCAGUGGGGAAUAUUGCACAAUGGGCGGAAGCCUGAUGCAGCAACGCCGCGUGCGGGAUGACGGCCUUCGGGGUGUAAACCGCUUUCGCCUGUGACGAAGCGUGAGUGACGGUAAUGGGUAAAGAAGCACCGGCUAACUACGUG
Molecule: ribosomal RNA, 468 nt
Filed under: uncultured bacterium
Lineage: Bacteria
Description: partial 16S ribosomal RNA
Rfam family: Bacterial small subunit ribosomal RNA
Source: RNAcentral